UUUGUUUAUGCAAGUGUUCAGUAUGCGUUUGCUACAUGGUUUGCGAAAAUCACGCAUGUUGUGCACUGAUUAGCUUAUGCUUCUUUUUUGAUUAAUCGAUUGCACAAUAUUUAAUACAUUUCAUAUAAAAAAAAGCUAUUGUCGACAAAAGGUCAUGCAGACCAUCCGCUGAGUAAUGUAAUGAAUAGCUGUGGGAGCUUUAAUACUAACACGAAGCUACGUGGACCAAGGAACUCAGAGACACCAGAAGAGUCUCCUUGUAAUAGUCAAGGAAGUGAUACCGAUAAAGGAGACGGAGGUACUCUGACUAACUUUGGUAUCAACGAGUUUAAUGUCCCUCGUGGCACUUUGGUUAUUUGCCAACGAAAUUCCAACAAUUAUCUAUCGGAUCAUUCAUUUUCUAAGUUUAAACCAAGAAUUAGUGGGAUACCACGCAAUGAAUUUCGAAUGGCUCGUGGUAGCAAUUCAGGAGAUCGUGGUAGAGGAGGAUUACGUGGUCGAGGUUUUAAGAAAACAUCUGAACGUGAUGCAAAUGCAGAGCCCAGUUAUCACUCGGUACCUAAACCCAAGUUUCAAGAAUCGUUGAAAAAUCAAGAAAAUUCGCAGAACAAAUACUAUGACGAUAAAAGAAUAAAUGAGGAGUCCAGAAUUUCUAAACUUUUGAGGCGAUUAUGCCGUGAAGAUGAUUAUGAUCAUUUCAUGAUGCUUUGCAAACAAUUACAAGAAGGUAUACUAGCACCUGAAAAUCAAAGAUAUAUACGACGGAGCUUGGAGCAUAUUUGCGAAAGCUUAUUAGAUAUACUACACUCUGGUCCUGGACCAGAUGCAAAGCAGCAUGUGACUAAAUGUUUAGGUCGUAUCGGAUAUGUGGUAGAUCAAGAUUUCAAAAGAUUUUUAGAAUGGACUUUUAGUAAGUAUGCCUUGGAAAGAAAAGAUGACAUUAAAUGUCUUCUAAUCAAAUCUUUUGUCGAAAUGCUCAAACUGGAUGCAGAAACACCAAGAUUAAAGGAAUUCUCAGUGUCUAUGAUGUCACAUUUGCAAUCAACGUUGGAAAAUGUUGAUAGAUCAGACUUAUUAGUGGCUACAGUGGAUGCCAUAUUAUUAUUAAUUGAAUCAUAUCCCGAAACUUUUUCCAAUCAUUUCCGUGAUACGGUCGAUAUUUUAGUGGGAUGGCAUAUAGAUUCAACGCAACAAAGAUCUAUCGUAGCUUAUGCGAGUAAAAGCUUGCAGAAAUUACGGUCAUUUUGGAUUACAGAUUUACAGUUUACAUUGACAUUAUUAGGACAAUUUUUGGAAGACAUGGAAAGUUACGAUGAAGAAUUAACUUCACCUGAAUCUGGUAGAAAUUCACCUGGCGAUGUAACAUUUCCAACACCUAAAGAAUGUAUACUUCGCAUCACAUCUUUGAUAUCUGUGUUUAAUACUGUGACCAAAAGUAUAUCUGAUCGUUUGAAUCCUAAUCUUACACCUAAUGUGCAGUGGUCCUUUUUAAUGGAUUGCCUAUCAAAAAUGUUAAAAACUGUAGUAAAAGCAAUUGAAUUAAAUGAAGGUUACGAGGAAUGGUCACAAAAUCUUGUCGCACCACUUGAAAAUCAUGACAAUGUAAUUAGAUGCGCGAGGCAUAUGAAUUCGACGCAAAAACAUGUUGAAAUACUUUUGAAAAGUUUUAAUAAGGAAGAAAUCAGGGAAGAGAAUUUAAUAAAGAUGCUCAAAUGUUUAUACAUCAGCAAGAAAAAUGAUUAUAAAAAUUCUAAGAUUGUCAUUGAUAAAGAUAUAUUUUCAAAAGAAAAGGAACAAUCUUUGAUGAACGUACUCGCUUCGAUGGAAUUUAAAAGAAAAAAAAAUAUCGAUUUGUCAGAAGAAAAAGAAGAACUAAUUGUGGUUGCAAACGAAUGUGCAUUUUUGCUUCUAGGAUAUAUUCAAAGUCGUGUGACUAAAAAUCAUGAUCUUCUUUAUAAAUUCAUCGAUCUUCAAUUGCAAAGAGUCAACAUUUUUUGGGACGACACUAUUAUUUCUAUGUUGAACACCAUCUCUAAAGUAAUUAAAGAGGUAUCAGCUAAUUUACCUUUAGAACUGGUGCAUAAAUUGCUUGGAAAAAAUUCCACCUUAUUAAAAUUAAGGUUCAGAAAUUCUAUAACCAUUCAAAAUGCUAGCCUUGGUGUAUAUCACAGCCUUUUGAGUUUAAAGAAUAUUCCAUUAUUACAAGAGGCAUACAGAUAUAUAUUAGCUGAUUUAGAAGUGGCUUACAAACUUAUAAGAGACAUUGAUUGCUUAGUCAUAGACAAUCCUUUCACCGAUGUGCAAUAUAAAAAGUCAGAUGCUGAAAUUGUUAUUAUUUUUAUUCUACGUGCACUUUCAGAUAUUGCAAAUGCAAGUAAUUCUAUAAUUGGAAUGUGGGCAUUAAAACCAACAAUCUUAGAACUCCUUGCUGUUAAAUUAAAACCGUAUGAUCCAGCAUUAUCUAUUGCCAGUCCAUUGUUACAGUAUAGCAUUUUGUACCUGCUUUAUGCACAUUGCUCUAGGUAUAAUCAUUUUAUACCAAGUUCUAGUUUAAUAACAGGAAUAACUACAUGCCGCCCAAUAGAUAUGUUUCCUGGAACAUUAGAUGUACCAACAACGUCACCUACAAGUGGACAUUUAUCUAUAAUACUUAAUCUUAUAGCAAAGACAUAUAACAAGAGAAGUUCAAACAGAACAUUAUUACUUUUAUCUAAUUGGAUGCAAGAGAUUUGUAUACAGUCUGAAAAUUACAUUGGUAUUUUGAGUAAAACUCAGGAAUGUGAAAAUGUUAUUACCAGUUUAAUUGCUUGUGGUACUACAACCGAUUAUGAUAUUUUAAUCGCUAUUUGUUCUAUUUUUGAAAUUUUAAUGAGUUCAAAAAAUGUUGUCUGGCGACAAGAAAUUUAUUCAAGUAUUGUAGACUUUGCGAUGUUACAUCUAACUUCGUACGACAAGCAUGUACGUGAAAAGUAUAGUCAACUGUUAAUGAACGUGCCUCUUAAUAUUGUUAUUCCAAAGUUAAAUAAAGAAUACUUACCGUCAGAAACAAAGAAAUUUCAAGAGAUUGAGAGUUAUUCAUUAGAAUCUGUAAUUCUCGCACAGAGAUUACACAUGAGAGGUAACAACAAUGGUGAAAUGCAAGCGCAAUAUUUUAAAACUUAUAUGGCAUUUUUAUUGCAAGAACAUUAUAUCGAUGCAUCUGGUUUAGCUGAAAUAUUUACUUUGUGCUGGCCAACAGUGUCUGAAAAUGAGAUAAUGACAAAAAUGCAUUCGCUAGCUCUCGCAAAUUGUUCUUUCUUAUUUUUUUGGUGUGGCCUUGAAGCUGCGCAACAUUGCGUAAUUAAUAAGCUGCGUACUUCUCUUGGGAAACCUCAAGAAACAUUUACAAGCAUUGAAGGAGCAUUGAAAAUUUUGGCUCGUGAGAUAUCAUACAAUUCAGAAAUAGUGAAGAAAGAUAAUCAUGGUUUAGAUUACCUGUUGCACGAACACACACGUGUAAGACUUUUUAUAGAAUUCCUGGAACAUUUAGAGAGAGUUAUUCACAAUGCUGCGGAAGGAUGUGCUGUAGCAUUACCACCUUUGUCAAAGCCAGUACGAACUUUCUUCCAUACUAAUAAAUCUACAUGCAAAGAAUGGUUGAAUCGCAUUCGUUUAGCUCUAUGCGUUGUUUCAUUACAUUCGGGAUUAGCAACAGUAGCUUUAAGGAAUGGUCAAAGACUUUUAGAAGAUUUAAGUAUUUGUGAGAAUACUCAAGGUAUAGAGUUUGAGAGGGCAACUCUUUGUACAGCUCAAGCUAUGGUCAUGUUAGGAGAAGCAGAAGCAUUACAAGGACUUUAUAUAUAUACAAAAGAAAAAGAUAGAAAGUUUCCUUGGUUGAAAGCAGCGAUGGAAGAAGCUGCUGGUCAUUAUGAAUCAGCAGCUGACAAUUAUAAACAAAUAAUCGAAGAGCAAUGGUAUAAUAUCGAUGAAGAUAUAAGAGGUGCAAAAAUAGAUGGUGACAAUCAAGUGGCAACAUUUUGUAUGCAACAUCUUACUAAGUGUUACAGAGCUGUUAAUGAUUGGACUCAGUUAGAAACAUGGAAAAUGAUAGAAAAUGAUAUCUUGCUGCAAGAAAAGAAUAUCCUCCUAAAGAAACAAAUGAUGGAAAACAUAGUUCCUCAGCAGGCAAAAUGUUUAAAAAAGUUUGAAAUUGGUGAAAUUAUUUCCAUGGAAGAGUUGUCUAAUUGGAAUCUAUUGGAUGAAGAAACAAGAACAAAUUGGAGCUGUGCUAAGACUAUUAUCGAAUGCAAUAACACUUUAACUAAUAUUGCAAUGAGCGCUCAUAUCAAUGAAUAUAAAACUUCGUUUGAAAAAGACAUACAGAGAUGUCAGAAAGUUGCUGCUAAAACUAUGGAAGAAGGCUUACGAAAUGUACCUUCAGAGUAUUUAAGUGAUUCCAUAUUGAUACAAUAUUCUGCUACCGGUUUGAAAAAUUUACUAGCUGGAAAACAAAGCAAUGUAUUUGAAUUAUACAAAGAGGACAAAAUUAAUAAUUUAAGUACCAGUAUAUUGACACAAAUUUUAUGGUGGUCAGAUUAUUUCUGUAAAACAAAUAAUUCUAUUUCCAACGAAGUGGCUAGUUUGAGAUUACACGUGGUUCGAAGUGCUAGAAAAGAAGGGAAUUUUAAUUUAGCUAAACGAGAAAUGAUAAAGUACUUCGAAAUCGAACAAGACUUAUUCCAAAUCAAAGAUUUACAGGGUUGCAAUUUUACAGAGAUUAUAGACAAAAUGCUUACUGAGUCUAUGAACGUAAAAUGGUCGAAAAAUAAUAUGCGAGCAUUCAGAGAAUUUGCUAAAUUGCUGUACGACAUGGAAAAUAUAGAAGAGGCAUUGAAAAUAUGCAGUGCAACAGCGCUUGGAAUUUCUCAGUCUAUUGUAGGUGGGGAGCAAUUAACAGAUCUAAGAGAAACUGGAACUAAACUUUUGCUCACUCUUAGUAAAUGGAUACAACAGGAUGCCAAUAUAACCGAUAAUCAUCAGUUAGAAGAUCUACUACGAUUCGAAGCUGUUCAUAAUGAUGGCUUAAUGAAUAAAUUAUUUGGAGACACAACAGAUUUAAUACCAACAUCGGAUAUGAUUAUUGGAAAGUUAAUGCAACUAGGCGUAAAUCAAUGUCCUGAUCUGCCUUUGGCAUGGUCCAGCUUUGCAGCCUGGUGCUACAAAUGGGGAAGAAAAAUAGUUGAUAAUUCUAAUUCUGGCCAACUCACAGAUACAGAUCGAAUAAAUAUACAAUCAUUGUUGCCUAUAGAUAUUACUGAAAAUGAUCUUAAUGCAGUAUUUUCCAUAUUAAGCCAAAAUAAAACUAUUCCAGAAGAUGAGGGUGAUAUUGAUACGAAUGAUAUAAAUACAUCAGAGAUGAUAGAAAAUCAAUUGAGAAAUGUUCCAAUUUUAUGUCAUGCCAAUAAUGAACACCUUGGAAUGUUAGUCGACAUAUGGAGGCAAGCACAGAAACGAAUUUAUUCUUAUUAUGAAUUAUCUGCUAAUGCUUACUUUAAAUAUUUGCAAUUAGCAAAUAAUGAAAACAACAAUUGCGAUACUAUUACAGCUACAUUAAGACUUUUACGUCUUGUUGUAAAACAUGCUUUAGAACUUCAGAAUGUACUUGAAUCUGGACUUUCAACUACACCUACCGGUCCAUGGAAAGAAAUUAUACCACAACUAUUUUCAAGAUUAAGUCAUCCGGAAGCAUAUGUACGGACCCAAGUUUCCGAACUUUUAUGCAGAGUGGCAGAAAAUUCUCCUCAUUUGAUAACUUUCCCUGCAGUAGUAGGAGCUGUUUCUGGUCAAAGAAAAAAUUAUGAUAAAAUGGUUUAUGAAAGAACUGAAAAUGAUAUCUCUCAGCACAAUGAUUUAGAUUACAUAGAAGAGGAUACUGAAUCUACUUAUAAUGAUGAAAAUCAAGGCUUUAUGGAUGCUUGUUUCGCACAAUUAGUUGAUUGUUUAUCCAAUAGAAUCCUAGAUUCCGUUAGUCAAGUAAAAAUACUUGUAAGAGAACUUCGUAGAAUUACGUUGUUAUGGGAUGAAUUAUGGUUAGCAACAUUGUGCCAACAUCACACAGAAAUUAGUAAGAGAUUUGAACAGCUCGAGUUUGAAGUUCAAAAAGUACAAGACAAUAUUUGGCUUACUCCGGAAGAAAAAGAUAAGUUAAUUGCUGAAAAGCAUAGAAUCAUAUUGAAACCAAUUGUAUUCAUCCUUGAAAAUCUUUUAUCAAUGACAUCUGUAUCGGCAGAAACUCCACAUGAAAAAAAUUUUCAAGAUAAAUUCGGCCCUACCAUUCAAGAAGUUAUUAGUAGAUUAAAUAAUCCAAAAAAUCCUGCUAAACCUCAAAUGGCUGCACUGCCCUUAAAACAUUUGGAAACAAAAUUGGCACAACGUGUACAGAAACGGACUGCUUAUUCAUUAUCAAUGACAGAUAUUAGUCCAAUCCUAGCUAAUUUAAAGGGUACAUGUAUUGCUAUGCCAGGUGUUGCUGCUAUUGGCAAUAAAGUUGUUACUAUUAAAUCUGUUAAUAAUAACGUACAAAUACUACCAACUAAAACAAAACCAAAGAAGCUUAUGUUUCAUGGUUCGGAUGGUCAUACUUAUACAUAUUUAUUUAAAGGAUUAGAAGAUUUACAUCUUGAUGAAAGAAUCAUGCAAUUUUUAAAUAUAUGUAAUACUAUGAUGUCUAAAAACAGCGAUACCAAAAAAGUUUAUAGAGCACGUCAUUAUUCCGUCAUUCCUUUAGGACCACGAUCUGGUCUUAUACAAUGGGUCGAUGGUGUUACGCCAUUAUUUGUUCUUUACAAACGUUGGCAGCAGAGAGAAAGUGCUAUGGCAAAUAAAACUGGGAACACAGCAAUUUUACGACCUUCUGAAUUAUUCUAUAAUAAAUUAACACCAUUACUGAAUGAAAGAGGAAUAGCAUUGGAUAAUAGAAAAGAAUGGCCUCUUCCUAUACUCAAACAAGUAUUAUCUGAAUUAAUGACAGAGACACCAAAAGAUUUAUUAGCUAAAGAAAUUUGGUGUAACAGCAUAAACGCCGGAUGUUGGUGGCAAGCAACUAAAAAUUAUUCAUAUUCCGUUGCUGUUAUGUCUAUUAUUGGCUACAUCAUAGGCUUGGGCGAUAGACAUUUAGAUAAUGUAUUAGUUGAUCUAAAUACUGGAGAAGUAGUACAUAUAGAUUAUAAUGUAUGCUUUGAAAAGGGAAAGACCUUACGUGUCCCUGAAAAGGUACCUUUCAGAAUGACACCCAAUAUUAAAGCUGCAUUAGGUGUAACUGGUGUAGAGGGUAUAUUUCGAUUGGCCUGCGAACAUACUCUUAGAGUUAUGCGUAGAGGAAAAGAAACAUUGCUUACCUUAUUGGAAGCAUUUGUAUAUGAUCCUUUGGUAGAUUGGAGAGCUGGAGCUGAUAAUAGUAUUGCAAGUUAUGGAGCAUGUCAAGCUAGAGCAAGAUGUACUGGUAUAGGACGGAAACAACUAGAACAGGAACUUACACGAGCUAUGUUUGCUGUUAGAAUUGCAGAAAUGCGAGCAGAAUGGCUUGCAAACAGGGAUGAAUUAGUUAAAACUUUUCCUUUGUUAUGUCAUCACUUAACAUGUUGGAUUGAGGCAACUGAAGCAUCGCAACAGUGUCAAGACUUAUUGCAAGAUAGACAUCAACAACUUGCUUUAGUAAAAGAGGCACAAGCAAUGGGACGUAAUCAUGUUUUAUAUUCAGUGGUAAAAAGGUAUAAUACAUUUAAGCGUGCAAGAGAUGCACAUGAAAAAGCCAGAAUUGGAUUGAAAGAAAAAAUAGAAGAAUGUGAAAAACAAAUUAAUAUGCAUAAUAUUGCAUUGGCUUCUGUAAGAGGACCACAAUUAGGUCAGUGGUUAGCAGAAUUAGGAACGUCAGCUACACGAGAAGAUCAUGUUGUUUUUGAUCUUGUUAAAGAAUUUUUACAAAAUGCAGGCCAAAAUCAGAUGAUUAUUCAGUGUGAGCAAUCCGAGAACGAAUUAACGCAAUUAGCUACUCAACAGUCUAUUCUUAUUCGCAGUUGUUUGGAUCUUAUGAGUCAAUAUUCAGCAAUAUGUAAUCUUUAUCCAAUAAGUAUCGUUUCGCAACACCGUACGAUUGUUUAUCAUGCUUGGGCAAAUAAGUUGUUGGCAUCACCAACGGUAGAGGCUUGUCAUGAAGUAAUGAAUCAAUUUGAAGCAAAUUUUGGCCAAAUGAAUGGAAAUAAUUCUCAAGAACAAAUAGUAACUUUUUCUUAUCAUAUGCAAGCUAUCUUAAAUGAAGCGAAUGAGAGAUUUAAAAAAGCUUACGAAAGAAUGGUUUCCGAGGGUCUACCAGAAGCCAUCAGUAGAAUCGAAAAGGCAUAUACAGAAUCAAGAGUUCAGAUCACAGGAUUUUUAAGACGCGAGAAAGGUGCAGAAAGAGCAUUCGAGAGUGUUAAUAUAACAGCGCUUUGUGCAUUAAACAAAAGAUAUUUAAUAAUGGAGGGAGCUGCUAAAUGUGCAGGAGACUGUUUAGUUGACCUUACAUCGAGAGAAGGAGAUUGGUUUUUAGAUGAAAUGAGAUUGAUAUCCUCCUUAAUAUCUGAAUUUGUUACAUUGAUACCCGAGAAUCAUAAAACAAACAAUGAUCCAAAAAUAUCUCUUGUAUUAAAAUGUCUUAAAAGUGCUGACUCCAUUUACAAAGGAUUGCAAGAACUUAAUUACAAUUUUCACACGAUUAUUUUACCAGAGGCCAUGAAAACAAUUAUCACAGAAGAACCAACCGUAAUUAGAAUGAUUAACGAAUUAAAUGAAAUAAUUAUAUCGACAGGAAUACCCCUUGGUGAUAUUCUUAGACAACUAGAAAUACACCUGAGAUUCACUAUAAUGGAAAUGGAAAGUCCACAUGCUAUGGUACAAAACUUAGUAUCUAAUAUGAGAUCACGUUUUGAAACAUUACUAUCUAGACCUGCAGAUAUUCAGGAACUUAAUCACGACGAGACAUUAACACCUGGCCAAAUGCUUUUGAUGGGUUUUAAUGGAUUGUUUGAAAAGUUACAAAUGGAAGGUAAUGCUCUGGUAAGCACAUUAAGUUCCCUUGAUAUUCCAAUUAAUUGGAAAAAAAUCGACCAAAUUAGAGAAGCUAAAGAAAUGGCUGGACCCAUAUUUAAUAAAACAGCACGACAAGUUUUAGAAGAUAUUUUCCUGAUAAAGAGAUUAUGUACAAUACAAGAGUUUUUUAUAAUGUGUAGAGAUAUUGCUACAGCAUUUAAAGGGGAAAUUGCAAAUGUUUAUGAUGACGAAAGAUUAAAUAAACCAGUAAGAGUAUUUACUGCUGAUUAUGUCUCUAGACAACUCCUUGGAGUAACGACCCAAACACUUGCCAUUGCAUUAUGCUUUUUAUUACAAAGAAUGGGAUUAAAUGUUACUACUGAGAUUGAACAAAGAGAUAUUGGAGCGGAGAGUAAAGUUUCACUCGACGAAUUAUGUAGAAAAAUGGUCGAUUUAUGUUUAAAACAGGGUCUUUUUACGGGAUCUGUUUUAGCUCAAGCUAGCACAUUGAGUAGUACGUUAGAAAGUACUUGGAGAAGAAAACAAAGUUCAAGACUGGCACAACAAGGUGUUGAAUUAUCACGCGCUAGUGUACAAAGACUGCAACUCCAAUUAACAGCACAUAAUUGGUUGCACGAAGAUAAUUUUCUACUGAGAUCUAACAUGAGUCCCAUGAAUCCAUUAAAUCGUUCCGCGUUUAUGUUGGAAUUAAGAAAAACAGCUGCAGCUCUAUCCAAUUUACAAUCAAGAGUAUGCGAAGCACGUGAGCAGCAACAAAACCUGGUAUCCAGCGCUAUACAGCGUUUGAAAUGGGCUGCUGGAGCUAAUCCAGCAUUAGGCGAGGUCAUGUCAGCAUUUGAUAAUGCUGUAUUAUCUUCGUGCGAAAAAUUAACGCAGCAACAUAAUCUCUCAGCAGCUGUUAUCAACACUUGUAAUUCUAUAUUACAUUACGAAGCAUUGAGGACUAGAACAUCGGAAAGCGUUACGCACGAUGCCAAUUUUAUCAAGCUUGUUAAACAUUGGGAAGAGAGUUGUUUGUUAACAGUAAAUUUAACGAUUACUGUUAGUCCAAUAGAAGAAAGUCUUAUUGAAUUAUUGCAGUUAGAAAAUAAUGUUGACGUUAACUGGUUGAAACAAGCGGAGAAACUUAUUUCCGAGGCGAUUAUCGAUACACAAAAAAAAUUACAAGAAAAGCAAGAUAUUUUACGCAACGCACAUGAUUGCUUAAGGGGACGAGUGACAAGCCUUCAGAAUAUACUUGCAGAACAUCAUAAAUUAAUGUCCGACGUCCGAGUACUAUUAAAGACUAUGGUCAAACAAGAAAAUAUUGUCGGAUUGCAAGAGUUUUUAAACACUUAUCGAUCAUUCACUGAAACUUUAUCUACAGUCGUGAAAGAAUUGGAAUCGGACAUUUUAGAUCCCAAAAGAGGCAUUGCCAUAAAGUCCGAAUUAGAAAACAUGGCGAUUAUGGUACCUAACUUAUAUAACGAGUUGUUGGAAUUUGCUAGUGACCAUAGAUUGAAUUCGAAUAAAGGAUCAGAUAAAGAAUGCUCUCUUAAAAAGAGAGCUAAAUUAAUGAGACAAGAUAGCGUUUGUCUUAGUCCUAAAAAGGGAAUUCCUUUAGCUAGGGAUCCAACUACGGGAAAAGCUGUGCAAGAACGAAAUGCGUAUGCGCUAAAUGUAUGGCGACGCGUGAGAAUGAAAUUAGAGGGACGAGACCCACAUCCAACGCGUAAGUAUACAACGGCCGAGCAAGUGGAAUAUGUAAUACGUGAAGCACAAAGCACUGAUAAUUUAGCUCUCUUAUAUGAGGGUUGGACACCAUGGGUUUGAAGGAACGAAAGUAAACGCAAACGCGUUGAUGGUUAAUCUCUCGUCUCAUAUGGUACUACUAAUUUGUACCAUUCGGUGCUCUACAACGUAGAGGCAAAGACGUCUGUACGAUCAGGUGUAAUACGACCUAGUAUUUCACCUAGGAGAAAAGUCAACACAAGUCCGAUUAAUGGUCGGCUGUGCCAACACAACGAAAAACCUAGCGAGCUGACUAUAAAUCAACUCUGAGCUCUGAUUCUAUGAUUAUCUCAAAAUGAUCAUCUAUGUUGUUCAUAAAGUCCUUUCCCAUCUUACUGGUCAUGGUAUUCUAUCAGAUUGCUUCAGAUACUCUACUUCAAUAAGCUCUAUUAUAUUAUUUGUUUUUGUUAAAUGGUGCAGAAGAAAACAUAUAUGUUUUUGGAAAAAUAUUUUUAACAGAGUAGAGUUCAGAAUACACAUAAUGUUGGGAAAUAGGGUGAUUAUUAUUGAAUGAAAAAGAAAAACUUGCAGAAAGUAUUGAAAAAAAUCUUAUUGAAUGUUAAGCCUGCAAAAGUUUCGACGAAAAAUCAAGAUAAAGUAUAGUCACAAGUAAGAUGGGAUAUAAUCCAAAAGUUGCAAAGUUGAGAUAAUACACAAGUGGAACAUGGUGGUCUGUGCGAUAAAAAGCUGAACAACAAUGGGAAGAAUAAUUAGAUCGGCAUUGGGUAUUAAGUUUCUUUUUCCUAAAGUUUAAGGUAUUAUUCUAAUCAAGGGUUUAUAAUGUUUGGGAAAAACAUAGAAUCUGCCGGGUGUUUACAAUAAUGAAGUAUCAAUGAGAAAUAUAAAUGAGAAAAAAUGUUCAGCUGAGAAUCGUAUUGUGAAGAUCUAUAAAACGAUGUAAGUGUCAACGACUUAUGAUGAUCGUGAUAACAUCAUCUAUGACUAUAAUGUACAGCAUGAGAAGCACUUUCUUGUCAGAAUACUAUAAACCUGAUGUCGUUA
This 11838-nucleotide unclassified non-coding RNA is filed under the name Polistes fuscatus (common paper wasp). RNAcentral describes it as "serine/threonine-protein kinase SMG1, transcript variant X1". Lineage: Eukaryota; Metazoa; Arthropoda; Insecta; Hymenoptera; Vespidae. The record is from RNAcentral.